RNAcentral lists this transfer RNA (71 nucleotides) under Morus serrator. RNAcentral's name for it is "tRNA-Lys". The record is from RNAcentral. Lineage: Eukaryota; Metazoa; Chordata; Aves; Suliformes; Sulidae.
CAUUAAGAAGCUAUGUAACAGCACUAGCCUUUUAAGCUAGAGAGAGAGGACCACUCACUCCUCCUUAAUGA